GGUUAAGCGACUAAGCGUACACGGUGGAUGCCCUGGCAGUCAGAGGCGAUGAAGGACGUGCUAAUCUGCGAUAAGCGUCGGUAAGGUGAUAUGAACCGUUAUAACCGGCGAUUUCCGAAUGGGGAAACCCAGUGUGUUUCGACACACUAUCAUUAACUGAAUCCAUAGGUUAAUGAGGCGAACCGGGGGAACUGAAACAUCUAAGUACCCCGAGGAAAAGAAAUCAACCGAGAUUCCCCCAGUAGCGGCGAGCGAACGGGGAGCAGCCCAGAGCCUGAAUCAGUGUGUGUGUUAGUGGAAGCGUCUGGAAAGGCGCGCGAUACAGGGUGACAGCCCCGUACACAAAAAUGCACAUGCUGUGAGCUCGAUGAGUAGGGCGGGACACGUGGUAUCCUGUCUGAAUAUGGGGGGACCAUCCUCCAAGGCUAAAUACUCCUGACUGACCGAUAGUGAACCAGUACCGUGAGGGAAAGGCGAAAAGAACCCCGGCGAGGGGAGUGAAAAAGAACCUGAAACCGUGUACGUACAAGCAGUGGGAGCACAGAGCAAUCUGUGUGACUGCGUACCUUUUGUAUAAUGGGUCAGCGACUUAUAUUCUGUAGCAAGGUUAACCGAAUAGGGGAGCCGAAGGGAAACCGAGUCUUAACUGGGCGUUAAGUUGCAGGGUAUAGACCCGAAACCCGGUGAUCUAGCCAUGGGCAGGUUGAAGGUUGGGUAACACUAACUGGAGGACCGAACCGACUAAUGUUGAAAAAUUAGCGGAUGACUUGUGGCUGGGGGUGAAAGGCCAAUCAAACCGGGAGAUAGCUGGUUCUCCCCGAAAGCUAUUUAGGUAGCGCCUCGUGAAUUCAUCUCCGGGGGUAGAGCACUGUUUCGGCAAGGGGGUCAUCCCGACUUACCAACCCGAUGCAAACUGCGAAUACCGGAGAAUGUUAUCACGGGAGACACACGGCGGGUGCUAACGUCCGUCGUGAAGAGGGAAACAACCCAGACCGCCAGCUAAGGUCCCAAAGUCAUGGUUAAGUGGGAAACGAUGUGGGAAGGCCCAGACAGCCAGGAUGUUGGCUUAGAAGCAGCCAUCAUUUAAAGAAAGCGUAAUAGCUCACUGGUCGAGUCGGCCUGCGCGGAAGAUGUAACGGGGCUAAACCAUGCACCGAAGCUGCGGCAGCGACGCUUAUGCGUUGUUGGGUAGGGGAGCGUUCUGUAAGCCUGCGAAGGUGUGCUGUGAGGCAUGCUGGAGGUAUCAGAAGUGCGAAUGCUGACAUAAGUAACGAUAAAGCGGGUGAAAAGCCCGCUCGCCGGAAGACCAAGGGUUCCUGUCCAACGUUAAUCGGGGCAGGGUGAGUCGACCCCUAAGGCGAGGCCGAAAGGCGUAGUCGAUGGGAAACAGGUUAAUAUUCCUGUACUUGGUGUUACUGCGAAGGGGGGACGGAGAAGGCUAUGUUGGCCGGGCGACGGUUGUCCCGGUUUAAGCGUGUAGGCUGGUUUUCCAGGCAAAUCCGGAAAAUCAAGGCUGAGGCGUGAUGACGAGGCACUACGGUGCUGAAGCAACAAAUGCCCUGCUUCCAGGAAAAGCCUCUAAGCAUCAGGUAACAUCAAAUCGUACCCCAAACCGACACAGGUGGUCAGGUAGAGAAUACCAAGGCGCUUGAGAGAACUCGGGUGAAGGAACUAGGCAAAAUGGUGCCGUAACUUCGGGAGAAGGCACGCUGAUAUGUAGGUGAAGUCCCUCGCGGAUGGAGCUGAAAUCAGUCGAAGAUACCAGCUGGCUGCAACUGUUUAUUAAAAACACAGCACUGUGCAAACACGAAAGUGGACGUAUACGGUGUGACGCCUGCCCGGUGCCGGAAGGUUAAUUGAUGGGGUCAGCGCAAGCGAAGCUCUUGAUCGAAGCCCCGGUAAACGGCGGCCGUAACUAUAACGGUCCUAAGGUAGCGAAAUUCCUUGUCGGGUAAGUUCCGACCUGCACGAAUGGCGUAAUGAUGGCCAGGCUGUCUCCACCCGAGACUCAGUGAAAUUGAACUCGCUGUGAAGAUGCAGUGUACCCGCGGCAAGACGGAAAGACCCCGUGAACCUUUACUAUAGCUUGACACUGAACAUUGAGCCUUGAUGUGUAGGAUAGGUGGGAGGCUUUGAAGUGUGGACGCCAGUCUGCAUGGAGCCGACCUUGAAAUACCACCCUUUAAUGUUUGAUGUUCUAACGUGGACCCGUAAUCCGGGUUGCGGACAGUGUCUGGUGGGUAGUUUGACUGGGGCGGUCUCCUCCUAAAGAGUAACGGAGGAGCACGAAGGUUGGCUAAUCCUGGUCGGACAUCAGGAGGUUAGUGCAAUGGCAUAAGCCAGCUUGACUGCGAGCGUGACGGCGCGAGCAGGUGCGAAAGCAGGUCAUAGUGAUCCGGUGGUUCUGAAUGGAAGGGCCAUCGCUCAACGGAUAAAAGGUACUCCGGGGAUAACAGGCUGAUACCGCCCAAGAGUUCAUAUCGACGGCGGUGUUUGGCACCUCGAUGUCGGCUCAUCACAUCCUGGGGCUGAAGUAGGUCCCAAGGGUAUGGCUGUUCGCCAUUUAAAGUGGUACGCGAGCUGGGUUUAGAACGUCGUGAGACAGUUCGGUCCCUAUCUGCCGUGGGCGCUGGAGAAUUGAGGGGGGCUGCUCCUAGUACGAGAGGACCGGAGUGGACGCAUCACUGGUGUUCGGGUUGUCAUGCCAAUGGCACUGCCCGGUAGCUAAAUGCGGAAGAGAUAAGUGCUGAAAGCAUCUAAGCACGAAACUUGCCCCGAGAUGAGUUCUCCCUGACUCCUUGAGAGUCCUGAAGGAACGUUGAAGACGACGACGUUGAUAGGCCGGGUGUGUAAGCGCAGCGAUGCGUUGAGCUAACCGGUACUAAUGAACCGUGAGGCUUAACCUU
Molecule: ribosomal RNA, 2906 nt
Filed under: Escherichia coli
Lineage: Bacteria; Pseudomonadati; Pseudomonadota; Gammaproteobacteria; Enterobacterales; Enterobacteriaceae
Description: 23S ribosomal RNA
Rfam family: Bacterial large subunit ribosomal RNA
Source: RNAcentral